Lucilia sericata (common green bottle fly) is the source of this 2637-nucleotide RNA transcript. It is a transcript of the gene named glutamic acid-rich protein, with no coding region annotated. NCBI's taxonomy places the organism in Eukaryota, Metazoa, Arthropoda, Insecta, Diptera, Calliphoridae. The record is from RefSeq and is a predicted model, not a curated record. The transcript is spliced from 4 exons.
CAACGUAUCCCAAUUUCAGGCAUUCGCGAUCGAGAAUUUGAAUCGGAAACAACAAGUCGCGCUUAAAGAACAACAAUAAUAACAAUAUACACCUAUAGACAUAGCCAGAUUGUACAAACACAAUCACACGUACAAAUACAUACAAAAAUAACAUUAACCCACACAAUUAAACAAAACGUAGUGUAUAGUUUAGACCAGGCCUAAACACUGGAUGUGUGAGUGAGCUAGUAGUGAGUGCGUUAGUUGGUUUUAAGUGAAGGUGCUCGUACAAGAAAAAAAAGAAUAUUACCUUUUCAUAAAAAGUACAAGAAAAAACAACAGAACCGAUUAGAACCUGAGAACCUUUGGCCAUCAGCAAAGCUUGGUAUUUUAACGUUAACCUUCGAAGAGUUUAGUUUAAAUCUAGACUAGCAUUGCUAAACACGAAUAUCGGAUACCUAAAAUAUCGAACAUCGGAUAAGAAUAUUUUCCAUUUAAAUAAAAGUAAAAAUAUUUUGUGUAGUGUCUUCCUGCGAACAAAUAGAGGAAACAAAAUGAAUAAAGUUCUUAUUUGUCUUAUCAGUUUAGUGGUCCUUUCCACAGGACAACGCAUAACUACCAUACAUCUGGAUGGUGUACAGUAUUUCAUCAGUCGUAUGAAUCCUUAUUCCCCCGAAUUAAAUUACUUUUUGGCUUAUCAAUACUGUCGUUCAUUGGGCUUGCAGUUGGCAUCAUUUGAAACUAAAGAAAAGGCUGAAUCUAUGACAACAUAUUUGAAAAAUGCUGGCUAUGGCAAUUAUGAUUUCUGGACUUCUGGUAAUCGUCUAGGAACUGGCAUGUUCUUAUGGAUGAGCACAGGUUUACCAUUCAAUGCCACAUUUGACUUUUUCGAAAAUACGGCUGAUGCCAUACAAGCUGGUCUUCUCGAUCCUGUUGAUCACAACAGUAAUACAUCACCUCAAAGAACCGCCAGAGACAGCAGCAGCGGGGCCGAAAAAGGUUGCGUCAUUUUGAAACAGCCCACAUUGAAAUGGAUGCCAGAAGACUGUUCUGCGGUGAAAGAUUUUAUUUGUGAACAAACUCGUUGUUACUACUACAAUUAUGGUAGUAUUCCAGUCUCUUCAGCGCAGGGGUAAGAAGAGCCACCCCUUCAUAAAAGAUUAAGGGGUUUCUUUUUAAUAAAUUGUGAAAAUAAAAAAAAUCUGAAACCUACACACAUAAAUUUUAGCCUGUAAAUGUUACUUUAAGAAUUUUAAUAAAACGAAUCUCUCAAUUGGAUACAAACAAACAAAAUAAAAAUAAAUCACACAUACAUAUAUAAAUCUUAAAAUCAAACACAAUUACAACAAGAAUGAUCAACUAAAGCUGAUUCAAACAAUAAAUAAUUGAAAUUUAAACUUAUUUUAGACGCCCUAUUACCACUACUACACCACGCAGCGUUAAUGCCGAUGUUAGUAAGUCGGAAUUGAAAACCACCACACCAUUGCCACUGUUAAUGUCCUCUUAUGCAACAGCCAAAAAAUCAAAUCAACCCUCAUAUGUUUCACUGAAGCUUGACCAGGAACGUGCCUUGGUAUCCAGCAAAUCCGACGACACUCACAAUAACGUGCAGGACAAUGAAGAGGAACACGAGGACGAUGAAUCGAACAACAGCCAAGGGGAAGAAGUUCAAGGACGUGACUUAACAAAUGAAGAAUUCGAUCACGAUGUCGAGGUUAGCCAACAAGAAAACUCCGAAGAAGUACAUGACGACCACGACGAUGUCCAUGAACAGGAUGAAAAUAAAUCAAGCGACCAACAAAAUGAUGAUGAUGUUAGUAAAAUCAAUAGUUCACAUUCCCAAGAACAGGAAGAAGAAUCUGAAGAAUUAGUGGCUAAAGAAAAAUCAUUGGAAAGUUAUGAAAUUGAAAAUACCCCUGAAAUGCCUGCCGUUGAAGUUAGAUUAAAGGAGAUUUCACAGGAAGUUGAAAAAAGAAACAACGAAGAAAAUAGACACAUUCCCUCUUUAACACCCGAUCUCGAUGAUAUUGGACGUCAAUCAUUUUUAUCGCUAACUGAUCUUAUACGUACAUUGCAUCCCAAUGACAAACAAAUUAUACCACAAAUUGAUUCCGAUUAUUCGAAUGCAAUGCGUGUGUUGGGUGAAAAAUCCGUGGUGGUCAAUACAAAUGAGGAAUAAUUUAUUAUAAGCAUAAAGUAUAACGACUAUUCUUUUUCCCAUAAAUAUUCUCAAAAGAGACAUCUCAACAAAUAAUUCACAUAACCUUAUCGACCAAACGACCGUCCGACUCAAAUUUUAUACUAACGUACAUUAAAUUUUUAACAUGAUUUAAUCAAUUCAAGUUCUAUUGCAAACUGUUUCGCUUGAACAUUUCUGGUUCUUUAAUGGACUUUUUUUGUAUUUUGUAUGAAUAAAAAAAAACUGUUUUACCAAUACAAGUCAAGUUCAUUGAAAAACACUUUACUUUAGAACUUGUCGUCUAUCUAUAUGUAACUGCUGGGGUAUUUUCUCAAGUUGACAUUUAAAAAAGUUUAAUUUUAGUUUGCUAAGUAUUUUUAAGUGUAAUAAAUAUCAUUGCUAAACAAUCGUCAUAAGCGAUUACUAAUUGUAUAAUUUGAUAUUUAUAAUUGUCGAAUAAAUAUGUUUUUAUACAAAAA